GAGGAAACUCUGAUGCAGCGACGCCGCGUGAGUGAAGAAGGUCUUCGGAUCGUAAAACUCUGUCCUUGGUGAAGAUAAUGACGGUAGCCAAGGAGGAAGCCCCGGCUAACUACGUGCCAGCAGCCGCGGUAAUACGUAGGGGGCGAGCGUUGUCCGGAUUUACUGGGCGUAAAGGGUGAGUAGGCGGUUAUGUAUGUCAGAUGUAAAAGGCACAGGCUUAACUUGUGUUAGCAUUUGAAACUGCAUAACUUGAGUGCAGGAGAGGUAAGUGGAAUUCCUAGUGUAGCGGUGAAAUGCGUAGAUAUUAGGAGGAACACCAGUGGCGAAGGCGACUUACUGGACUGUAACUGACGCUGAGUCACGAAAGCGUGGGUAGCAAACAGGAUUAGAUACCCUGGUAGUCCACGCUGUAAACGAUGAGUGCUAGGUGUUGGCCAGCGAUGGUCAGUGCCGAAGUAAACACAAUAAGCACUCCGCCUGGGGAGUAC
This 488-nucleotide ribosomal RNA is filed under the name uncultured bacterium. RNAcentral describes it as "bacterial SSU rRNA". It matches the Rfam family "Bacterial small subunit ribosomal RNA", at positions 374 to 883 of the family's 1533-position model. The record is from RNAcentral.